AACGACCUGCCGGGUUCGAUACCCUCGGACAUUUUUUGACCCAACACGUUUUUUCAGGGAGCCCGGGCAGCCGGCGGAAUGCAGACCUCCCCCGUUUUCGGGGACGCUGGGAGCAUGGAAACCGGCUUAUGAGCACCCACCUGCAGGAGAUGCAGGUCAUUAGCGUUCCGACACCGGCUCGGUGGGUUCUUU
This 192-nucleotide non-coding RNA is filed under the name Clostridia bacterium. RNAcentral describes it as "6S RNA". It matches the Rfam family "6S / SsrS RNA". Rfam says of the family: E. coli 6S RNA was the first non coding RNA to be sequenced, but its function was unknown until recently. It consists of 184 nucleotides that fold into an extended hairpin structure with a large single-stranded internal bulge. The record is from RNAcentral. Lineage: Bacteria; Bacillati; Bacillota; Clostridia.